UACGUAGGGGGCGAGCGUUGUCCGGAUUUAUUGGGCGUAAAGAGCUCGUAGGCGGUUCCGUCAGUCGGGUGUGAAAACUCUGGGCUCAACCCAGAGACGCCACCCGAUACUGCGGUGACUAGAGUCCGGUAGGGGAGUGCGGAAUUCCUGGUGUAGCGGUGAAAUGCGCAGAUAUCAGGAGGAACACCAACGGCGAAGGCGGCAUCCUGGACCGAGAUUGACGCUGAUGCGCGAAAGCCAGGGGAGCAAACGGG
Molecule: ribosomal RNA, 254 nt
Filed under: uncultured bacterium
Lineage: Bacteria
Description: partial 16S ribosomal RNA
Rfam family: Bacterial small subunit ribosomal RNA
Source: RNAcentral